CCCGGUGUGGCUCAAUGGUUGAGCAUCUGCCUUUGGCCCAGGGCGUGAUCCUGGAGGUCCUGGGAUCGAGUCCCACAUCGGGC
Molecule: transfer RNA, 83 nt
Filed under: Canis lupus familiaris (dog)
Lineage: Eukaryota; Metazoa; Chordata; Mammalia; Carnivora; Canidae
Also listed under: 1 other name
Rfam family: tRNA
About the family: Transfer RNA (tRNA) molecules are approximately 80 nucleotides in length. Their secondary structure includes four short double-helical elements and three loops (D, anti-codon, and T loops).
Source: Rfam by way of RNAcentral